Molecule: non-coding RNA, 189 nt
Filed under: Clostridiaceae bacterium
Lineage: Bacteria; Bacillati; Bacillota; Clostridia; Eubacteriales; Clostridiaceae
Description: 6S RNA
Rfam family: 6S / SsrS RNA
About the family: E. coli 6S RNA was the first non coding RNA to be sequenced, but its function was unknown until recently. It consists of 184 nucleotides that fold into an extended hairpin structure with a large single-stranded internal bulge.
Source: RNAcentral
AGUUGCCUGGAAUGUUCGUAACCUCUGUUUUUGAACCUUCGUGACAGAAACGGGAGCUUGGGUUAAGUGGAAUACGGUCAGACCUCCCGGACUUCGGUCCGAGUAUGGGGUAGACUUAAGACCACUGCAGGGCACCCACCUAGUAGUGAUGCUGGGUGUCAAAAGGGGGUUCGACAUCCCGGGCAUUCU